AAUCAACGCUGGCGGCGUGCCUAACACAUGCAAGUCGAACGCGAAAGUGGAGCAAUCCAUGAGUAGAGUGGCAAACGGGUGAGUAACACGUGGGUGACCUGCCUUCGAGUGGGGGAUAACGUCCCGAAAGGGACGCUAAUACCGCAUAAUAUGCUGUCUUUUAAGAGAGAGACAUCAAAGCCGGGGACCGUAAGGCCUGGCGCUUGAAGAGGGGCCCGCGCCUGAUUAGCUAGUUGGUGGGGUAAUGGCUCACCAAGGCAACGAUCAGUAUCCGGCCUGAGAGGGCGGACGGACACACUGGGACUGAGACACGGCCCAGACUCCUACGGGAGGCAGCAGUGGGGAAUUGUUCGCAAUGGGCGCAAGCCUGACGACGCAACGCCGCGUGGAGGAUGAAGAUCUUCGGGUCGUAAACUCCUUUCGAUCGAGACGAAUGGCCCUUGGGAUAAUACCCUGAGGGAGUGACGGUACCGAGAGAAGAAG
RNAcentral lists this ribosomal RNA (483 nucleotides) under uncultured bacterium. RNAcentral describes it as "bacterial SSU rRNA". It matches the Rfam family "Bacterial small subunit ribosomal RNA", at positions 32 to 490 of the family's 1533-position model. The record is from RNAcentral.